AAUGUCUUCAGGUUCAAUGCAUUACGUGUUGUGCUCUUUUUUUUAAUUUUAUAAUAUUUGUCCCUUCCACCUUUUUAGUUAAAUUCAAAAAUUGGUGCAGGUGUGGCCGGUGACGGCUGCCCCUUGCUCUUCUUCAGUUUGUGCACUUCAUCAUUUUGUGCCCUGGUGCUGCUACAGUGAAAAAUUGUUUGCUCACACUCUCUGUGUGUGUGUGUCAGCCUAAAUGUCAGGAGAGUCGACAGAGAUGGUUUGAUAAAUCCUCAGCGGCUGCAGCCAUUCUUCAUCACCAUGUGUUGCUGUGUGUCAGCCGGCCUUUAUUUUAUUAUUAUUAUUUUUUUUUUUUUUUUUAAUUGAAGAUCAACCUCAGUGCAACACAAAAUCCCACAAAGUUCAUGGUGUGUUUUUGUAUAUAUAUAUAUAUAUAUGUGUGUGUGUGUGUGUGUGUGUUACAUUUUAAAGGGAAAAGAGGAUGAAGACCUUCUUUUGUGGUCACACGUGAUGCAGUUUUGUCAACUUUUGGACUUUGCACUUGAUUUUGCUUCUUUAUUUUAAGUAGGUAAUAUUUUUCAACCACUUUUGUUGAUUCAUUGCUUGUUUUUUUGCCAAUUUGCACAAAAAGCAAUAAGUCAGUUUUUAUAACGUGUGCUGUGUAAUAUCCUGGGAUCUUCCCCAGAAUACAAAUGCAAAUUUUAGAGUUUAUCUACUUAUUGCAUUUACAUAUUGUUAGGCAUUUAUGCUGAAUGCCCCCAGAGUCCCAGUGGAAGUGUAGAACUCGGAAUCAUGAUCUCAUUUACGUAACUCACCCAGUUAACACCUGUUCCAAUAAUAUGAUGGUAGGAGGUGAUUAGUGCCGUAAUGACCAACAGACAGAAGAACUCCUUUGUCCCUCAGGCCAUCAGACUGUCCAACUCCUCACUCAGGUGGAGGAGGAGUAACAGGAAGACAGAGAACGGGAAGGAGAGGAACAGUAGUAACUAGUAAACCACUACUGAUCAGUAUGUCCGGUAUUUAUAUUUGCGUAUAUAUAUUUAUAUUUGGAAACUGUUAUUUUUUAACUUUCAUUUUUGAUACUCUGUGUGCUUCUUGCCCUGUGUGCUGCUGGAACGUCAAUUUUCCUAGUCUUCCCAAGGCAUCAAUAAAGUUGUAUCUAAUUUAAUCUAAUCUAAUGAGCCAACAGCAAAGACUAAUGCAGGAUUGUCAAGGCACCUCCCUUAAUCAGAGCAUAGUGACAUAAUAUCUAUAGCAAACACAGACGCCACAACAAAUAAAAAGCACUGCUGACCUCACAUCAUGACACAGACACACACUGCUAUGUAUGUACACGUAACCUGCACCACUUCGUACCACUCUGGCCUCAAACUCUCAAUUCCCAGGAUGGGAGGCAGGUGCUUCAACCACGAGGUUAAAACCCGUGGGGUUCAAGCAUCUGUUUGCAAGAGCAUCUUUGGGCUUUGGGGAGUAAGGUUUAUUUAACGUCUUCUGCACAGCACCACCUGCUGGCAUCUGUUAAAUACACAUAAUUCCACUGGGUGCAGAGUUGUAGUAGUCAGGUUUAGACACUCAGAGUAAAAGCGAUUGAGCAAUGUAUUAUUAUUUUUAUUUUAUUUUUUUUUCAAAAAUGCAUUCAGUAUGAAAGUCUAAAAUGUUUUCAAAAGUGGACCUUGACUCAAACUGGGGGGGUGGUCCUUUCAAGCCCUUGUUUCUCUGGCUAAGCCCCUGUACUGGAAAACGGUUGCAACAAUGAGGAAAAAACAAAAUUUUUUGUGGAAAUGGUGACCUGAUUGGCCAGUACUAAAGUUAAUAUCAAAUGCAUCAUCCAUCAGAAGUAGAUCUGGUGCGUACUUUAACCGAAGCAGAGUGAAAUAUAUAUUGUUAAAUGGCCACCGUGGGAGUGUCAUUGGAAGCUGACUGACAUAACGCUGUCUGUUACCGCUCCAUGCUUAUAAAACAGAGCGGGACUGUUGAUGAUCUGUGUGAGUAAAAUAGGCUUUAAGGGGUUUUUAUAAUGUGCUUUCCAUAGUGAAGCCACUGCAGCAGCCAUUGGAUAGGAGACUGACUACAUGUGUUAUUGUUAUUGAUGACUGACCAAUCCAAUACAAACAGAUUCACCUGGAAUCACCACAUGUGCAGUGUGUUGUGUCUGUGUGGGAUUCUUUCAGCACCAACAUUUGUCCUCCUUUUGUUCAUCAUAAAGGAGAAGCUUUAAAAUUGGCAUGUCUUCCAUGUGGACAGCGGGUCCCACCCACCUGAGCUGAUAUUGGUUGAUGACAUUCUGAACCCUCUUUGGAUUUUAGAUACAUUGGUUGUCUUUAAAUGGUCCUAGAUUCACUGCCAUAAAGCGAUUUGCUCGCACAGCAGCUUGAUAAAAAGUUGAGACUGAUGCUGCCAUGUCUCAACAGCCAGUGCAGCACUCACCUUUCCUUAAUCUAGCUGAGAUAUAUCAUCAUUCAUCAAAGUGUUUUGUGACACUAUGAAACCUUGGUAGCAAAAUGUAUCAUCCGCUUUCAAACUGUCCCUUUGACAGUCCCAGUGGGUGUGGUAUGGGUGGCGGCCAGUCUUGCCUGCAGCAUGACGUCCGUCUUUUUAAGGUUGAUAGCUUAGCCAAAGCUGUUACAGAUCUGUCUGUGAUACUUUGAAUGUCUGCCUCUGUGCGGGCGAUGAGAACACGGUCAUCAGCAAACAGCAGUUAGUUUGGAGACCCGUGUUGCAUCUUGUAAUCGAUGGAAGUUGAAUAGGUUUCCUAUUCGGAAGCAGAUGAAGACACCCCGAGUCCAGUCAUGGAAAGUGUCAUAGAGCAUCAUCGAAAAGACUGCAUGCCCGUUUUGGACUUCUGUGACAUACGUCGCAUGAAACACUUCUAGUAGUCCAGUUUGUGCAAUGUGCACACACAAGCAAGCAGCAGCUCUUCUCCAUUUAAAGUCACAGACCCACAAACAGCUUAUUAUUUCAGCUAAUUCAAUACAGUUUUUGAAAAUUUGUUCAAAGUUUGGAAAUACUAUCUUCAAAUCUUCACACACAGGGUUGAAUCCAUGAUAUAUUUUAAUUUAUUUUUGUUUUAAUGUUGCAUGAUGUGGGUCAUUUUGACCCUUGAGGAGCACACUCUAAUGAACCCUUCUGGUUGGACAUUUAGUGGCUGUGUUCUGAGAGGACGGAUGGAUGCAAAACAGGCGCUGCUAUUGCAUUAGAUCUUAGGAUAUCUUGAUCAACAAGAUUUUAAACUCCAGCUGACGUUAUAAUGGCUGCAGCAGGCUAUAAGUCCCCUCAGCAUCUCAGCAAAACACUUUUGUGAAUGUUAAAUAAGGUGCAUCAGGGAAAUAACAGAACAGUGUGAUUGGCUGCAGCGUUGAUCGUGUGAGGUGUGUGAAGAAAGGAUUUAAAGGUUGUUCUGUGCAAACUGCAGUCAGACCGACCACUCAAUCAGGUUUUGUUUGACACCAUUAAGCCCAGUUAAUUUCUUGAUAAUUAAUUCCACUCCUUCACUUCCUGUGGAUGACGGAGACUCUGGAUUAUGUUUCAUGUGCAAGAUGAGCACUUUACUGGAUCUGUCUUCUGUGUUUCAUUUCAUUACUGUCUGUCAAGCUGAUCAGCCGAGACAAUAAAAGCACAAUUCCACUGUGA
Molecule: long non-coding RNA, 3618 nt
Organism: Thalassophryne amazonica
Lineage: Eukaryota; Metazoa; Chordata; Actinopteri; Batrachoidiformes; Batrachoididae
Exons: 2
Source: RefSeq, a predicted model, not a curated record